GAAGUUUGGCCGUGAGGUCAAGUGGACCGUGCUCGUAUAUGGAUGCUGGUAGGAGUAGCAGCAAAGAUUGGUGAGAAUCCAAUCCGCCGCAGGGGCCAGGGUUCCUCGGCAAUGUUCGUCAGCCGAGGGUUAGCCGAUCCUAAGACAACUCUUAAUCGAAGUUGCCAAAUGGGAAACAGGUUAAUAUUCCUGUGCCGCAGUAGUCAUCGCCUAGCAGCUACGCAUCCGGAUAGCUCGAGCAGGGGUGUCAAUCUGUUCAAGCGUUGAAGCCUUCGGAGAACCGUAAUGGUGAGAAGUUGGUGAAUGCGUGAGUAGGCGGGCGUAGGCCCGCUUCGAGUGAUUCCAGGUGCCAAUGAAAAGGCAGCUAGUUUAAGCUAUUGUGAUCGUACCUAGAACUGACACAGGUGCCCCUAGGUGAGAAGCCUAAGGCGUGUCGGCAUAAUCCGUGCGAGGGAAUUCGGCAAAUUAGCCCCGUACCUUUGGUAUAAGGGGUGCCAGCAAUGAGAAUUGCUGGUCUCAGUAACAAGGGAGCUCCGACUGUUUAAUAAAAACACAGGUCACAGCUAGUUCGAAAGGAUUUGUAUUGUGGCUGAAGCCUGCCCAGUGACGGUAUCUGAACCUCUGUUUCAACGGAGCGAAGGACCGUUAAACGGCGGGGGUAACUAUGACCCUCUUAAGGUAGCGUAAUACCUUGUCGCUUAAUUGGCGACUUGCAUGAAGGCACAACGAGAGCUCUACUGUCCCCGCAUGGAAGCCGGUGAAACUGAUAGUACCGGCGCACAAUCCGGUAUCUUCCACCUGAAAGCGAAGACCCCAUGGAGCUUUACUGCAACCUGUUGUUGUGGUACGAGCCUCGAUGUGUAGAGUAGGCAGGACUCGUUACCAGGGCAUGCCGCUAGGCAUGUUCCGAGAGAUCAAUGAAACACUGCCCUUCGGGACUCGUAUCACUUACUCCUCUGGGAGGACAGCUAUAGGUAGGCAGUUUGGGUGGGGCGCCACGCGCUCAAAAAGAUAACAAGCGCGCCCAAUGGUCAGCUCAGGCAGGUCAGAAAUCUGCCGUUGAAUGCAAGGGUAUAAGCUGGCUUGACGCGGGUUGGGACAAUAACAAUCCGCGAUACGAAAGUAGGGCCUAGCGAACCAAUCAACCUUCUGAAUGGGGGUGAUUGAUAACAGAAAAGUUACCCUGGGGAUAACUGAGUCGUCGCUAGCAAGAGUUCAUAUCGACCUAGCGGUUUGCUACUUCGCUGUCGGCUCUCCCUAUCCUGGCGGUGCAGCAGCUGCCAAGGGUGGGGUUGUUCGCCCAUUAAAAGGGAUCGUGAGCUGGGUUUAGACCGUCGUGAGACAGGUUUGUUGCUUUUUGGUGGAAGUGUAUUGAUGUCUGACGGGAAGGAUCCUUUAGUACGAGAGGAACAGGGAUUCGUCGCCUCUAGUUCAUCAGUUGUCUGGCAAGGCACUGCUGAGCAGCCACGCGAUAAUGGAUAAGAGCUGAACGCAUCUAAGCUCGAAACUACCCCGGAAAAGAGACAUCUUAGAACACCCGUAGAUGACGGGAUUGAUAGGACAGGGGUGUACGUACCAAGGUUCUCCGAGGUACUCAGCCCGCUGUUACUAACGUUCUCGCCGCUAUG
RNAcentral lists this ribosomal RNA (1628 nucleotides) under Methanomassiliicoccus sp. UBA393. Its description in RNAcentral is "bacterial LSU rRNA". It matches the Rfam family "Archaeal large subunit ribosomal RNA", at positions 1339 to 2987 of the family's 2987-position model. Lineage: Archaea; Methanobacteriati; Thermoplasmatota; Thermoplasmata; Methanomassiliicoccales; Methanomassiliicoccaceae. The record is from RNAcentral.